AUGCUGUGGUCAAAAACUUAAUCAGUGUACAUUAUGAUGGGAUUUUUUAUGCAGGUUUGUACAAUAGCAUAUAACUUAUAGGCCUAAUUUAUAUAUACUCAAUGUUUAACAUUUUUGACAAAUUAUUUUGUGAAAUAAAUAAAAUGACCAAUUUAUUUAGACUGUGCAGUAACAUGUUGUUAUGGUUUAAUAAUUUAUUUGUAACUAAUAAUCUUAAAAAAGCCCUCUGGUGACGUCAGUCAUUGACAAGGACAUCGUCAUGGACCGGUGGUGAAGAGCCUCGAGAGUGAAGGUUAAUUUUUCGAAAGGAGAAGUCCACUAUUUCAGCUUCAUCAUUCAGCCUGGAAACUGAACUGCUUCAUAAAACUUGUGCUUGAAAAGUGUCAUGGGACCCAUAUUAAGUUUCCAACUUUGAUCUGCUGCACACAAGUAGCUUUGAAGAAGAAGGAUCCCAGCUUAAAGAAAAACAUGUGUCACAUCCAUAAUUGUUUGACAUCAUCUUCAAGCACACCUGGAUUCCUUGUUGCAAUGUCUUCAAAACAAAUGUAAAAAUGAAAGGAUUUCAGUGGUGAGCUCAUAUAAUGGGAUCAAAAGGAAGUGAACUGGACUGUGAGGGACUUAACACAAGGAAAGUUCAUUUCAAUACAUUUUAUGUCAAGAUUAAUUCUGUGAUUUAAAUUCAUAUUUACACACUCUACAAAUGCUGUCUUCCUACCUCAGAUUGUGAUGGACCUAGAAUGCGACACCGUUUACGAAUAAGUCAAGAACCAAAUGAAACACUAUUUUCCAGAGUACAGAUUAUGGAGGGGUCUGCCAAACUAAUAGAGCAGUUUCUUCUUCUUGGAGUGCCACAGCUUAAAUCCAAAGAUCCUAACAGCUCUCCUGAUUCCGUCAAGGCUUGAAGUGUCAGCAUUACGAUGGCCAACACUCGCUCACUAUCCUUCUGCUCCCUCAUUUAUCAGAGGCACCACAGUAGAAUGAAUUAGCAAUUACUCUUCACUUUCCAGCCGCAACCCAGCACUGGGAAACACCCAUACACUCUCUCAU
Danio rerio (zebrafish) is the source of this 1047-nucleotide non-coding RNA. The record is from RefSeq and is a predicted model, not a curated record. Lineage: Eukaryota; Metazoa; Chordata; Actinopteri; Cypriniformes; Danionidae.